GACGAACGCUGGCGGCGUGCCUAAUACAUGCAAGUCGAACGCUUCUUUCCUCCCGAGUGCUUGCCCUCAAUUGGAAAGAGGAGUGGCGGACGGGUGAGUAACACGUGGGUAACCUACCCAUCAGAGGGGGAUAACACUUGGAAACAGGUGCUAAUACCGCAUAACAGUUUAUGCCGCAUGGCAUAAGAGUGAAAGGCGCUUUCGGGUGUCGCUGAUGGAUGGACCCGCGGUGCAUUAGCUAGUUGGUGAGGUAACGGCUCACCAAGGCCACGAUGCAUAGCCGACCUGAGAGGGUGAUCGGCCACACUGGGACUGAGACACGGCCCAGACUCCUACGGGAGGCAGCAGUAGGGAAUCUUCGGCAAUGGACGAAAGUCUGACCGAGCAACGCCGCGUGAGUGAAGAAGGUUUUCGGAUCGUAAAACUCUGUUGUUAGAGAAGAACAAGGACGUUAGUAACUGAACGUCCCCUGACGGUAUCUAACCAGAAAGCCACGGCUAACUACGU
This 507-nucleotide ribosomal RNA is filed under the name uncultured bacterium. Its description in RNAcentral is "partial 16S ribosomal RNA". It matches the Rfam family "Bacterial small subunit ribosomal RNA", at positions 28 to 506 of the family's 1533-position model. The record is from RNAcentral.